CCUACGGGUGGCUGCAGUGGGGAAUAUUGGACAAUGGGGGCAACCCUGAUCCAGCCAUGCCGCGUGUGUGAAGAAGGCCCUCGGGUUGUAAAGCACUUUCAGUGAGGAAGAACGCCUGGUGGUUAAUACCCAUCAGGAAAGACAUCACUCACAGAAGAAGCACCGGCUAACUCCGUGCCAGCAGCCGCGGUAAUACGGAGGGUGCGAGCGUUAAUCGGAAUUACUGGGCGUAAAGCGCGCGUAGGUGGCUUGAUAAGCCGGUUGUGAAAGCCCCGGGCUCAACCUGGGAACGGCAUCCGGAACUGUCAAGCUAGAGUGCAGGAGAGGAAGGUAGAAUUCCCGGUGUAGCGGUGAAAUGCGUAGAGAUCGGGAGGAAUACCAGUGGCGAAGGUGGCCUUCUGGACUGACACUGACACUGAGGUGCGAAAGCGUGGGUAGCAAACAGGAUUAGAUACCCGGGUAGUC
Molecule: ribosomal RNA, 465 nt
Filed under: Vreelandella stevensii
Lineage: Bacteria; Pseudomonadati; Pseudomonadota; Gammaproteobacteria; Oceanospirillales; Halomonadaceae
Description: partial 16S ribosomal RNA
Rfam family: Bacterial small subunit ribosomal RNA
Source: RNAcentral